UGACCUCGGAUCAGGUAGGGAUACCCGCUGAACUUAAGCAUAUCAAUAAGCCGGAGGA
This 58-nucleotide ribosomal RNA is filed under the name Penicillium citrinum. RNAcentral's name for it is "partial 28S ribosomal RNA". RNAcentral also lists the same sequence under 1 other name. The record is from RNAcentral. Lineage: Eukaryota; Fungi; Ascomycota; Eurotiomycetes; Eurotiales; Aspergillaceae.